Non-coding RNA from Phascolarctos cinereus (koala), 479 nucleotides. Lineage: Eukaryota; Metazoa; Chordata; Mammalia; Diprotodontia; Phascolarctidae. The record is from RefSeq and is a predicted model, not a curated record.
ACACAGCUUUGCCAAGCUCUCACCUCCCCAUGCUGGAACAACCACUACUUUGUCCUUCUCCCCAGCCCUUUCACACUUUGGGGCUUCCCCUUCUCUCAUCCCAAGACCAGAGAGGCGGGAGAAGGCAGGGGCAGGAGCAGGGAGGGGCUAAGAAAACAAGGAACCCUUUCACCAGACUGUCUGCUGCAAAAACUUGACUGGGGUUUUCUUGGCAAAGAUACUGGCGUGGUUUACCAGUUCCUGCUCCGGUGGCCUAACGCAGACAGAGAAACCCCAGAAGACGUCACAAGUAGGCAGCCCAUCUGGUCCAAACUCCUUCAUUGGACAGAUGAGAAACUGAGGCUCUGGAGUCUGGCAAAGUUCUUGCUACUCUGAUGUACUUGUGCAGGACAUAAAGCCCUCACAACCAAACGCAGAAAAGCAGAAAAUAGUAAAUACUCCCUUUUCGGAUCAUAAUGUAAUAAAAAUUAUAUUCAAUA